GAUGAACGCUGGCGGCGUGCCUAAUACAUGCAGGUCGAGCGAACGGACGAGAAGCUUGCUUCUCUGAUGUUAGCGGCGGACGGGUGAGUAACACGUGGAUAACCUACCUAUAAGACUGGGAUAACUUCGGGAAACCGGAGCUAAUACCGGAUGAUAUUUUGAACCGCAUGGUGCAAAAGUGAAAGACGGUCUUGCUGUCACUUAUAGAUGGAUCCGCGCUGCAUUAGCUAGUUGGGAAGGUAACGGCUUACCAAGGCAACGAUGCAUAGCCGACCUGAGAGGGUGAUCGGCCACACUGGAACUGAGACACGGCCCAUACUCCUACGGGAGGCAGCAGUAGGGAAUCUUCCGCAAUGGGCGAAAGCCUGACGGAGCAACGCCGCGUGAGUGAUGAAGGUCUUCGGAUCGUAAAACUCUGUUAUUAGGGAAGAACAUAUGUGUAAGUAACUGUGCACAUCUUGACGGUACCUAAUCAGAAAGCCACGGCUAACUACGUG
RNAcentral lists this ribosomal RNA (497 nucleotides) under uncultured bacterium. Its description in RNAcentral is "partial 16S ribosomal RNA". It matches the Rfam family "Bacterial small subunit ribosomal RNA", at positions 28 to 507 of the family's 1533-position model. The record is from RNAcentral.